UAGUAAAGUCAGCUAAAC
Molecule: transfer RNA, 18 nt
Filed under: Rhinophrynus dorsalis (Mexican burrowing toad)
Lineage: Eukaryota; Metazoa; Chordata; Amphibia; Anura; Rhinophrynidae
Also listed under: 4 other names
Description: partial tRNA-Met
Source: RNAcentral